CACGUAGGUGGCGAGCGUUGUUCGGAUUUAUUGGGCGUAAAGGGCGCGUAGGCGGAGGCUCAAGCUUGGUGUAAAAUACCCCGGCUCAACUGGGGAGAUGCGCUGAGAACUGAGCCACUAGAGUCCAGGAGGGGGAGCCGGAAUUCCAGGUGUAGGGGUGAAAUCUGUAGAUAUCUGGAAGAACACCGGUGGCGAAGGCGGGCUCCUGGCCAUGGACUGACGCUGAGGCGCGAAAGUGUGGGGAG
Molecule: ribosomal RNA, 245 nt
Filed under: uncultured bacterium
Lineage: Bacteria
Description: partial 16S ribosomal RNA
Rfam family: Bacterial small subunit ribosomal RNA
Source: RNAcentral